UGUAAUAUAGCUUAAGUAAAGCAUUUCAUUUACACUGAGCUGAUUUAGAAUUGACUCUAAUAUUAUAA
Folsomia candida is the source of this 68-nucleotide transfer RNA. It matches the Rfam family "tRNA". Rfam says of the family: Transfer RNA (tRNA) molecules are approximately 80 nucleotides in length. Their secondary structure includes four short double-helical elements and three loops (D, anti-codon, and T loops). Further hydrogen bonds mediate the characteristic L-shaped molecular structure. tRNAs have two regions of fundamental functional importance: the anti-codon, which is responsible for specific mRNA codon recognition, and the 3' end, to which the tRNAs corresponding amino acid is attached (by aminoacyl-tRNA synthetases). tRNAs cope with the degeneracy of the genetic code in two manners: having more than one tRNA (with a specific anti-codon) for a particular amino acid; and 'wobble' base-pairing, i.e. permitting non-standard base-pairing at the 3rd anti-codon position. Lineage: Eukaryota; Metazoa; Arthropoda; Collembola; Entomobryomorpha; Isotomidae. The record is from Rfam.